Long non-coding RNA from Cynoglossus semilaevis (tongue sole), 726 nucleotides. RefSeq lists it as uncharacterized. Lineage: Eukaryota; Metazoa; Chordata; Actinopteri; Pleuronectiformes; Cynoglossidae. The transcript has 6 exons. The record is from RefSeq and is a predicted model, not a curated record.
UCUUACUGUCGCCUUUCUGUCCAGGUGGACCAGGGAUCCCAUCCCGGCCUUGGUUGCCUUUUGGGCCCGGAUAACCCUGGACACCUGGUAGUCCUUGGAUCCCUGAGGUUGAUGUUGGAGCAUAAGGUCCUGGAUUCCCCUUUGGUCCAUCACUUCCUGAUAUGCCUGCUCUUCCACUGACACCAGGCGGUCCAUGUUCACAGUCACAUGGUUCUCCUUUAAUUCCUUUGUGGCCAGUAGAACCUGGUGAACCAGGGAAGCCCGGCCCUCCUCUGAUUCCUGGUUCUCCCUUAAGUCCUUUUUUACCUGAGAGGCACACAUUCUCCUCUACAUAUCCUGUGUUGCUGCCACAGGCACUUACUGUCCUCCAUAUAGUCAUCAGUCUCUGUUGACUUGCACCUGGAGGUUCUCUUUAGAAGUCCAUGCCAAGAGGGCCAGAAGGACCCCUCAGUCCUGGCUCCCCAGGGAUGCCUGGAGGACCUUGGGCACCCUUAGCUCCAUCACGACCAGGGGAACCUGUGAGAGUAAAGGUCAUGGGGUCAUUUUCCUAAAAACUUCAGACCAUACCUGCACUUGCACUGAAUUAUCAAUACCUGGAAGAGAGGUCCAGGCAGCCCUUCUGGUCCAUAUCCUGGUAAACCAUCUGGUCCACGGUCUCCUUUUGGACCUUGAAUGAAUACAAAUCAUAUGAAAGCUGCAACAGAAAAAAAUUUAAAGAUGGGAAAC